This 82-nucleotide ribosomal RNA is filed under the name Staphylococcus aureus. Its description in RNAcentral is "partial 16S ribosomal RNA". It matches the Rfam family "Bacterial small subunit ribosomal RNA", at positions 1452 to 1533 of the family's 1533-position model. The record is from RNAcentral. RNAcentral also lists the same sequence under 3 other names. Lineage: Bacteria; Bacillati; Bacillota; Bacilli; Caryophanales; Staphylococcaceae.
GCCGUCGAAGGUGGGACAAAUGAUUGGGGUGAAGUCGUAACAAGGUAGCCGUAUCGGAAGGUGCGGCUGGAUCACCUCCUUU